Molecule: ribosomal RNA, 576 nt
Filed under: Debaryomyces hansenii
Lineage: Eukaryota; Fungi; Ascomycota; Pichiomycetes; Serinales; Debaryomycetaceae
Description: LSU rRNA
Rfam family: Eukaryotic large subunit ribosomal RNA
Source: RNAcentral
ACACUGUGAUGUCUUAGUACGGCGAGUGAAGCGGCAAAAGCUCAAAUUUGAAAUCUGGCACCUUCGGUGUCCGAGUUGUAAUUUGAAGAAGGUAACUUUGGAGUUGGCUCUUGUCUAUGUUCCUUGGAACAGGACGUCACAGAGGGUGAGAAUCCCGUGCGAUGAGAUGCCCAAUUCUAUGUAAAGUGCUUUCGAAGAGUCGAGUUGUUUGGGAAUGCAGCUCUAAGUGGGUGGUAAAUUCCAUCUAAAGCUAAAUAUUGGCGAGAGACCGAUAGCGAACAAGUACAGUGAUGGAAAGAUGAAAAGAACUUUGAAAAGAGAGUGAAAAAGUACGUGAAAUUGUUGAAAGGGAAGGGCUUGAGAUCAGACUUGGUAUUUUGCGAUCCUUUCCUUCUUGGUUGGGUUCCUCGCAGCUUACUGGGCCAGCAUCGGUUUGGAUGGUAGGAUAAUGACUAAGGAAUGUGGCUCUACUUCGGUGGAGUGUUAUAGCCUUGGUUGAUACUGCCUGUCUAGACCGAGGACUGCGUCUUUUGACUAGGAUGUUGGCAUAAUGAUCUUAAGCCACCCGUCUUGAAA